UUUCCGUAGGUGAACCUGCGGAAGGAUCAUUAUCGAAAAGCAAUCCGGGGGGGAGGCGACCGGGCGAAGUUUGGUAGAUCGUAGGGAUUGUCGCUGGCCUUUGGAAACGAAGGCAUGUGCACGUUCCGAGUUCUCCUUAGUCCUCCUUUGCCUUUCCUUUGGAAAACCCUUUCUUCACACCCGUGCACCCAUUGUAGGUCUCCGCGAGGGGAUCUAUGUCUUCACAUAAACACUACGUAUGUCUAGGAAUGUAUCUAAAAGCGUCGGACGGCUUGGCUUCGUGCCCGGUCGGCGACGGUAAAGAACCAUAAUACAACUUUCAGCAACGGAUCUCUUGGCUCUC
RNAcentral lists this unclassified non-coding RNA (343 nucleotides) under plant metagenome. Its description in RNAcentral is "partial contains small subunit ribosomal RNA, internal transcribed spacer 1, and 5.8S ribosomal RNA". The record is from RNAcentral.